GGGGUUGUGGCUCAGUGGUAGAGCGCUCAGUGGUACGUGCGAGACCCUGGGUUCGAGCCUCAGCACCACA
Molecule: transfer RNA, 70 nt
Filed under: Marmota monax (woodchuck)
Lineage: Eukaryota; Metazoa; Chordata; Mammalia; Rodentia; Sciuridae
Description: tRNA.Thr
Source: RNAcentral